UGGUUGUUGUUGGUAAUACGGUGGUGGUGGUUGUUGUUGGUAAUACGGUGGUGGUGGUUGAUGUUGGUAAUAUGGUGGUGGUUGUUGUUGUUGGUAAUAUUGUGGUGGUGGUUGUUGUUGGGAAUAUUGUGGUGGUUGUUGUUGAUGGAAAUAUGGUUGUUGCAUUCAGGGAUCGUCCAAAUAGAACGGGUCAGACACAAUCAUUUCUGGAUUUGUAUUUGCUCUAUACCAAUCCACAUAUUCCCUUGUCGACUUCAUUUCGUUGGGCGCCACCGGAAAUUGUAG
This 285-nucleotide long non-coding RNA is filed under the name Lathyrus oleraceus (garden pea). RNAcentral describes it as "Pisum sativum (pea) long non-coding RNA (PSAT_LNC022922)". The record is from RNAcentral. Lineage: Eukaryota; Viridiplantae; Streptophyta; Magnoliopsida; Fabales; Fabaceae.